This 264-nucleotide unclassified non-coding RNA is filed under the name uncultured fungus. Its description in RNAcentral is "sequence contains ITS1". The record is from RNAcentral. Lineage: Eukaryota; Fungi.
GUAUUUGAUUUUAAAGGCUGUAACGCCUAAAAUUACAUUCCAAUACAUUCUUAUGGUGUAUAUAGAGACAUAGAUCUGAACCCAAGAAAAGCUGGCUUUUACACGCAGCAAUCCUCUGACCGAGUUUCCCCGAGAGUUGUUCAGAUCUACACAAGGUGCACAGGUGGUUAAAAAUGGAGUGAGCGUGCACAUGCCCCGAAGAGCCAGCAACAACCCAACCAAGUUUAUUCAAUAAUGAUCCUUCCGCAGGUUCACCUACGGAAA